CAGGUAUGAGUCACCAGCACCUGGCUAGAAUGCCUUCUUUUAAGAUUUAGAAAUGCUUAAAGGUUUAUUAAUCACUUUUCAUUUAAUCAUAUGAAACCAAAGUAUUUCCUGGAAGAAGCAACUCUUUUUUUUUUGUUUUGUUUUGUUUUAGAAACAGCUUAAGAGUCUAACUGUGACUGCUGGGGAGUACAAUCUCUCUCAUAAAGAAGAGCAAGAAUAGAAUAUUCCUGUCUAAAAAUUAUUAUACAUCCUGAGUAUAACCACCUGGGAUUUAUGAAUUCUGAUACUGUACUGCUAUAUCUAAAACACGAAGUGAAGUUUGAGGGACUCUGGAAGACCCCUAGUUUGUAGAAGAAGUAGUAGAACAUGGACUCUCGCCAGGAUAACUUCCUGGGUAGCUGGUUUUGCUAAAGGCUCAGGUCCUCUAAGAAAUAACUGCAGAAUAACAUCAGCAGGCAUCUUUUCUGAGGUGGCUGAGUUCAUGGAUUUUAUCAUUUAAAAUAUAAUCACAGAUUGUAAACAUCAGAUGACAGUGUUAUUUGGAGAAAGAAAGAAAGAAGAUUCAUUACCCCUAUUCCAAAGAAGAUACCUGUCCUUAUAAGUGGUAUGUAUCCCAGGUAGGAAUGAUUCUCCUUACCCCCAAAUCAGACAGUUAAAGUGACUAUAUUU
This is a non-coding RNA of Castor canadensis (American beaver), 669 nucleotides long. The record is from RefSeq and is a predicted model, not a curated record. Lineage: Eukaryota; Metazoa; Chordata; Mammalia; Rodentia; Castoridae.